AUCCUAACCGUGCAAAGGUAGCAUAAUCACUUGUCCCCUAAAUAGGGACUAGUAUGAAUGGUCAAAUGAGGACUAAACUGUCUCUUACAUUUAACCAAUAAAACUGAUCUCUCAGUUAAAAAGCUGAGAUAUAAACAUAAGACGAGAAGACCCUGUGGAGCUUCAAACCAACCCAACCCUAAUGGUUCGGUUUUUAGUUGGGGCGACUUCGGAGKACAAAAAAACCUCCGACAAACCAUAUCAAGACCAACACGUCAACAUGCUUAUGACCCGGKACAAAAUAUCCGAUCAAUGAACCAAGUUACCCCAGGGAUAACAGCGCUAUCCCCUUCUAGAGUCCUUA
This 343-nucleotide ribosomal RNA is filed under the name Pedioplanis haackei. Its description in RNAcentral is "partial large subunit ribosomal RNA". Lineage: Eukaryota; Metazoa; Chordata; Lepidosauria; Squamata; Lacertidae. The record is from RNAcentral.